Molecule: long non-coding RNA, 1772 nt
Filed under: Aedes aegypti (yellow fever mosquito)
Lineage: Eukaryota; Metazoa; Arthropoda; Insecta; Diptera; Culicidae
Description: lncRNA AAEL024038
Source: RNAcentral
AGAUAAAACUUUACAAAUUUCUCGUUUUUCUAUCAAAAACAAGAUGAUUUCCUUAAGGUGUUCAUUUUACCACCCCUUCCCCUACUCAAUCAAUAGUAUACUGAAUAUUUAAGGUUCACUUACGCCACCAUUCGAAAAUAUUUCAAACUGGUGCUUCAAACCAUCCCUUCUAAAAAGCGCGGUUGAUGCGAUACGUUACUGAUUUGUUUGGGAUCCAUUGGAUCUCAAGUAUCCGAGACGGAUUGUUGUCUAUUAAAGGAAUUUGAGAAUGAAACAUCAAAUUUGUUUUUCAAUAGAACUCGAUUAAAUAGACUAACAAUUUUGCAUAUUUUGUAUUUUAUUUUUAACACCCAACUAUAUAGAUGUUUACUUUUCUUUUCACAGAUACAGAUAUUUUUUCCUUCCAACCUAAUGGAAUUAGCCGUAAUUUGCUGUACAUGCUCGCAGUUGGAAUUGUGUCAUUCACCAUUUUAUUGUUAAAGGAGUUGCGCUAUUUGAACAUGAACAUCACAUGUAAAAAUCCGUGUUUAAAAGCACCGAUCGCAUCCAUUACGGAAUCCAAGGAAACGGUAGCCAUCAAUGAAGAUUCCGAUGUAGCCGAUGAAAAACAACGAAUUGCUUCAUUUGAACAACAUGAUCUUAUUGACCACACGUUGGUACUGAAAGCGGUAUCAAAAUACUACGGAUCGUUUUGCGCGGUAAAGGAAAUCUCUUUGGUAGUGCAGGAUUUCGAAUGUUUCGGAUUACUAGGCGUUAACGGCGCUGGUAAGACUUCGACCUUCAAGAUGUUAACAGGCGAUGAAAACUUAUCAUGUGGAGAUGCUUGGGUUCGAGGUAUCAGCAUGCGCACGAAAAUGAAUGAAGUCAACCGAAUGAUCGAUAUUGCCCUCAGUUUGACGCGCUCCUUGAAGACUUGACCGGGCGUGAAUCGUUAUGGAUCUUCGGGCUUUUGAGAGGCGUACCAAACAAUUUGAUCAAAUUAGUUGCUUUGAAAUUAGCUAAUGAUCUCGGUUUUUCAAAGCAUUUUGACAAACAAAUCAAAACUUAUAGCGGUGGCAACAAAAGAAAGUUAAGCACCGCCUUGGCACUAAUAGGGAAUCCUGUGAUCAUCUACUUGGACGAACCGACUACAGGGAUGGAUCCCGGUGCGAAACGAAACUUCUGGAACGUAAUAUGUCGCAUACGCACUAUGGGAAAGGCGAUCGUACUGACGUCACACAGUAUGGAGGAAUGUGAAGCUCUCAGCACAAGGCUUGCGAUUAUGGUAAACGGAGAAUUUAAGUGCCUAGGAUCUGCGCAACAUUUGAAAAAUAAGUUUACAGAGGGAUAUUUCCUGACAAUUAAGCUAAAAAAAUGUGAUAACGAGCAGUUGGAGAACAAAACAAAUCUAGUCAUGCGGUAUAUUGAAAGCAACUUCAACGGAGCUCAACUCAGAGAACAGUAUUUAGAUUAUUUGACGUACCAUAUAAUGGAGACGUCGCUAAAAUGGUCAUCGAUGUUUGGGCUGAUUGAGCAAGCUAAAAUUCAGUUCGCUAUUGAAGACUACGCGCUUGGGCAAACAUCACUCGAACAAGUAUUUCUAGCGCUGACAGCAUAUCAGCGAAGCAGUUAUUAAAUAAGUAAUGCAACACUAUCUCAGUAUGGAAAUAAUUUAUCUCGAAUAGUAACACGCAGUUAAACUGGUGCUCGCUUUAGAAUUGUACUUUACAACACAGACAGUGAUACUUACUGAUUGCAAUGCAACAUACAUAAAUAUUAAUUUAUUUGAAAAA